GACGAACGCUGGCGGCGUGCUUAACACAUGCAAGUCGAACGGAAAGGCCCUGCUUUUGUGGGGUGCUCGAGUGGCGAACGGGUGAGUAACACGUGAGUAACCUGCCCUUGACUUUGGGAUAACUUCAGGAAACUGGGGCUAAUACCGGAUAGGAGCUCCUGCUGCAUGGUGGGGGUUGGAAAGUUUCGGCGGUUGGGGAUGGACUCGCGGCUUAUCAGCUUGUUGGUGGGGUAGUGGCUUACCAAGGCUUUGACGGGUAGCCGGCCUGAGAGGGUGACCGGCCACAUUGGGACUGAGAUACGGCCCAGACUCCUACGGGAGGCAGCAGUGGGGAAUAUUGCACAAUGGGCGGAAGCCUGAUGCAGCAACGCCGCGUGCGGGAUGACGGCCUUCGGGUUGUAAACCGCUUUCGCCUGUGACGAAGCGUGAGUGACGGUAAUGGGUAGAGAAGCACCGGCUACCUACGUG
RNAcentral lists this ribosomal RNA (468 nucleotides) under uncultured bacterium. RNAcentral's name for it is "partial 16S ribosomal RNA". It matches the Rfam family "Bacterial small subunit ribosomal RNA", at positions 28 to 507 of the family's 1533-position model. The record is from RNAcentral.